CCUACGGGAGGCAGCAGUAGGGAAUCUUCCACAAUGGGCGAAAGCCUGAUGGAGCAACGCCGCGUGAGUGAUGAAGGCCUUCGGGUUGUAAAACUCUGUCAUUCGGGACGAACCGGAGUCUGAGGAAAUGCAGACUCUCUGACGGUACCGGAGGAGGAAGCCCCGGCUAACUACGUGCCAGCAGCCGCGGUAAUACGUAGGGGGCAAGCGUUGUCCGGAUUCACUGGGCGUAAAGCGCGCGCAGGCGGUGAUGUAAGUCUGAGGUGAAAACCCGAAGCUCAACUUCGGGACUGCCUUGGAUACUGCGUCACUUGAGGAUAGGAGAGGCAAGGGGAAUUCCACGUGUAGCGGUGAAAUGCGUAGAGAUGUGGAGGAACACCUGUGGCGAAGGCGCCUUGCUGGCCUAUUUCUGACGCUGAGGCGCGAAAGCGUGGGGAGCAAACAGGAUUAGAUACCCUGGUAGUCCACGCUGUAAACGAUGAGUGCUAGGUGCAGGUGGGCUCAUACCCAUCUGUGCCGAAGCUAACGCAUUAAGCACUCCGCCUGGGGAGUACGGUCGCAAGACUGAAACUUAAAUGAAUUGACGGCUUGAGGACGNGCGAGGCGACGACGAGGGAGAGG
Molecule: ribosomal RNA, 621 nt
Filed under: uncultured bacterium
Lineage: Bacteria
Description: bacterial SSU rRNA
Rfam family: Bacterial small subunit ribosomal RNA
Source: RNAcentral